This 250-nucleotide ribosomal RNA is filed under the name uncultured bacterium. RNAcentral's name for it is "partial 16S ribosomal RNA". It matches the Rfam family "Bacterial small subunit ribosomal RNA", at positions 355 to 604 of the family's 1533-position model. The record is from RNAcentral.
GGAUGAAUAUUGCACAAUGGGAGAAAUCCUGAUGCAGCGACGCCGCGUGUGGGAAGAAGGAGCUUAGCUUCGUAAACCACUGUCGGAGGGGACGAAUGAUAGGUUAGACCUAUUGAGACGGUACCCUCAAAGGAAGGAUCGGCUAACUACGUGCCAGCAGCCGCGGUAAUACGUAGGAUCCGAGCGUUGUCCGGAGUUACUGGGUGUAAAGGGUGCGUAGGCGGACUUGUGCGUCAGAGGUGAAAUCCAC